RNAcentral lists this long non-coding RNA (2571 nucleotides) under Aquilegia coerulea. RNAcentral's name for it is "long non-coding RNA (ACOE_LNC000038)". Lineage: Eukaryota; Viridiplantae; Streptophyta; Magnoliopsida; Ranunculales; Ranunculaceae. The record is from RNAcentral.
AUUUUGAUUAAAGAUUAAAAAUAAUAUGUACGUAGAAAUGAAUACCAGGAAUUUUAAGAAGAUCGAAAACCGAGACGCAAAACUUCGAGACUGCAACUUGAAAAACAAAAUGGAUUAGAUUGUGUUAACCAUUACGAUUAAAGAUUAGAAAAUAUGUAGAAAUGAAUUACCCAGAAUUUUGAAGAAAUCUCCAAACUGAACUGCUGAAAAUAUUGAAUAAAACAAUAUUAUAAGCAAUUAUAAAAAUAGAUAAUAUAAAAAGUUGUAACCAGAUAAUAUAAACAGAUAAGUGUUAAAAUAAUAUCGAACUUAUUAAUUUGGAGACUAAAAAUUCCUUAUAGAAUAAAUGUCAUUAUAGCAUUAAACAAGCCACAGAUAUCUAUUUACGAUAUUAGAAGCAUUAAAAAAGCCACAUAUAAUUGUAAACAAUGAUAAAAACAUUAUAGGGAACUGUGACUGAAUUUUUAUGAAUGGUUGUGUGCAAUGCCUUUCUCGUUUUGAUUUGAACAGAAUUUAGAAUUUCUAUCUUCGUGUCCUCCUCAAGACAGUUAUCUUUACAUGGUAUCACAGUGAAUGUAACAACUUUGUACCAACUUCACCCAACGAAAAUGCGCCCAAAUAGACAUACAAGUAAUACAACCAACACACAUGCUAACUAUAAAAGGGAGAUGAAAACCAACACGAAGGUACUUGCAAUGCCAUGAACCCUUUUGUUACAUACAUGCUAACUAUAAAAGGGAGAAUGAAAACCAACUUCUAUGCGAUGAUAUCAUUUGGCAUUUUUCGUCUAUCAUACCAUGCAUAAACUACUUAUAACAAUUAAGCAAUACUUGCUGCAUUAAGGUAUACAUUGCAAGAGCUGAAAUAUAAAUCACAAAAACAGAGAAUCAGAUAGUCAUAAACUAUCAAUGCCAAGAAAAUGCACUCUACUAAUUGCAUAAACACCACCUAAUAAAGAAUACACGCAAUUUCAAGGGUUUGAAAGAUCCAAACAAAAGUUCAAUUCUUUAAUAAAAUUCUCGAUUAUAUAUUAAAAUAAAACGUUGUGAUGUUGUGUUGGGACCCAAACUUCUUCACCGAUCCACACAUUGGAUGCUUCUACUAUAUUUGUCAGAUUUUAAGUAAAUUACUCCAACCAUUUAGUAGUCCACUAAUGCAAGAAAAAGUGAAGAUAAACACCAAGAUGCAUGAAAGCUUGAUUCCAAAAAGAUGUGCAGUGCUCAGCAGUCACAUGUGUACACAUCAAUAACAAAUAAGUUUGUAACCAAACCAGACUCAAUUAAAAAGGUAUUAAUCAGGGACCAAAUCACAUAAACAUAAUUAAGACUAAUUUAGAAAAAACCCCAAAUUUUUAGGGUUAGAAUUUUAAAAAUUUGAAAUUAUUAUCAUCACUCAAGCAGAAAAUUUACCUAAUUUGGAAAAAACCCCAAAUUUUAGGGUUAGGGUUUUCAAAAAUUAGAAUUGUAUCAUUUAUCAAUCAGAGAAUUACCUAAUUUCGGAAAACCCCAAAAUUCUAGGGUUAGGGUUUUCAAAAAUUGGAAUUGUAUCAUUUAACAAUAAAAAAACUUACCUAAUUUCGAAAAACCCCUAAAUUUUAGGGUUAGGGUUUUAAAAUUUUCGAUUGUAUCAUCAAUCAAACUCAAUUUACCCCAAUUUAGAAAAACCCCCAAAUUUUAGGGUUUAGAGUUUUUAAAAAUUCGAAUUGUAUCAUCAAUCAAACACAAUUUACCUAAUUUUAAAAAAACCCCAAAUUUUUAGGGUUAGGGUUUUAAAAAUUUCGAUUGUAUCAUCAAUCAAACUCAAUUUAUCCCAAUUUAGAAAAAACCCCAAAUUUUAGGGUUUAGAGUUUUUAAAAAUUCGAAUUGUAUCAUCAAUCAAACACAAUUUACCUAAUUUUAAGAAAAACCCCAAAUUUUUAGGGUUAGGGUUUUAAAAAUUUCGAUUGUAUCAUCAAUCAAACUCAAUUUAUCCCAAUUUAGAAAAAACCCCAAAUUUUAGGGUUUAGAGUUUUUAAAAAUUCGAAUUGUAUCAUCAAUCAAACACAAUUUACCUAAUUUUAAGAAAAACCCCAAAUUUUUAGGGUUAGGGUUUUAAAAAUUUCGAUUGUAUCAUCAAUCAAACUCAAUUUACCCCAAUUUAAAAAAAACCCCAAAUUUUAGGGUUUAGAGUUUUCAAAAAUUCGAAUUGUAUCAUCAAUCAAACACAAUUUACCUAAUUUUGAAAAACCCCCAAAUUUUUAGGGUUGGGGUUUUCAAAAAUUGGAAUUGAAUAACCCAAUUUCGAAAAACCCCCAAACUUAUACAAAUGAACGAAUAAAGUUUAACAUUUGUUGUUAAACCGAAACCAAAAAAGAAGAAAAGAAGAAAAUCGAAAUAGAAAAAAAAAUUUGCAUUUCUGUCGAAGAAAACUCACCGUUGAAAUGAAUGAAAACGACGAGAGAAUGUGGAGGUCGAUGACGAUGACAGAAGGUGGAGGUCGAUCGAUGGUGAAGACGACGAGUGAUGGUGGAUUUGACGAGAGAUAAUCAAUCGGUGUUCAAGAUAGUUUUGGCCGCCAUUGUUGUUGUCGAGA